CGUCAUGCACGUCCCUGUGAUAGAGCUGUUACUAUGGAAACGAGUGAGAAUUGUUAAUACAGAAUAAACCCGCUGUUAUAUACAGUCAGAAUCUACAAUACAGAAAUGCGGUGGUAGGAUGAACAUUUCAUGCAUCAUUUAACGCCUUAAACUCUCAGCAUAUUGUUUGGUCAGUUAUCUUCAAGCAUGUUGUUCUGUAACCAAAAAGAUACUUCUGGAGUUUGGCGAGUUUGGUGGAGUGUUGAAAGUGAAAUCCCUUUAGAUUCCAUACAUCUCUUGGUCUUGAAUUCCCAAUAGAUUCAUUUCUUCUACAGGUCUCGAAUUUCCAAUAGUUUCCAUUCUUCUACAGAUUUUGCCAUCCCCUUAGAUACCAUACUCCUCCAGGUCUCGAAAUCCUUUUAGCUUCCAUUCUUCUCCAGGUUUUGAAAUCUCUUUACAUUCCAUUCUUCUCCAGGUCUCCAAUUCCCUCUGCAUUCCAUUCUUCUCCAGGUCUCAAAUUCCCUCUACAUUCCAUUCUUCUCCAGGUCUCAAAUUCCAUUUCCAUUCCAUUCUUCUCCAGGUCUCCAAUUCCCUUUAGAUUCCAUUCUUCUCCAGGUCUCCAAUUCCCUCUACAUUCCAUUCUUCUCCAGGUCUCCAAUUCCCUCUACAUUCCAUUCUUCUCCAGGUCUCCAGUUCCCUCUACAUUCCAUUCUUCUCCAGGUCUCCAAUUCCCUUUAGAUUCCAUUCUUCUCCAGGUCUCGAAUUCCCUUUAGAUUCCAUAGUUCUCCAGGUCUCGAAUUCUCUCUACAGUCCAUAGUUCUCCAUGUCUCCAAUUCUCUCUCCAUUCCAUUCUUCCCCAGGUCUCCAAUUCCCUCUACAUUUCAUUCUUCUCCAGGUCUCCAAUUCCCUCUACAUUCCAUUCUUCUCCAGGUCUCCAAUUCCAUUUCCAUUCCGUUCUU
This is a long non-coding RNA of Ictalurus punctatus (channel catfish), 938 nucleotides long. NCBI's taxonomy places the organism in Eukaryota, Metazoa, Chordata, Actinopteri, Siluriformes, Ictaluridae. The record is from Ensembl.